CUUCCCAGCAGAACGGUGGGAUUUGGGGCCCUGAGGGUCCUUCCCCAGAUAGCACUCCUCCCCCGGCUGGUGGAGGGAAAAUAAACACCGAGUUCACAAAAUCAGGACCCGUCAUUAGCCCAACCGCAGUAAAAGAACUCUCUUCACAGAGCAACAGAAACCAACCCGGACUGCCAGGGACCCUCCUGCUGCCCCAGGGGACUGAGAUCCCACUGCAGCUGGGCCACCAGGCCGGCUUCAAGCGGACUCAGUCAGCUACUAACGGGCACUUUCUCUGCCUCCUCCAGCAUUCAGAUCAAGACAUACCGCCUCGGCCGAAGGCCAGCCAGAGAUUUUUUUUACCACCGCUCCCCCCCUGGAAACUACGAUGGAAAAAAAAAGUUCCAGACAGACUCACAGAAUCGAGGGAGUCUCCGCUGCUUAAAAAGGAGAGAGAGAAAACUUUGGAGCAGGUAGGAGGCGGCCAAGGGCAGCGGGACUCUCACCUCGGGACAGAAUUUUUGCAGGCAAUUAAUGGAGAACCACUAGGAACACGGAUGUAGGAUCUCACUGCUCUGGAACAGAAAAUGUGAAGUACGAGUAAGGCGGGGAAAUUCCGUUCAAAACGAACAGGCAUCGUAAGUGAUCGAACUGUAAAGAAUUGUGGUACUUCUGAGCGUUGAGAAAAUACAUUUAGAAAUAAAAGGAUGAGAAGGCU
Mesocricetus auratus (golden hamster) is the source of this 697-nucleotide long non-coding RNA. RefSeq lists it as uncharacterized. NCBI's taxonomy places the organism in Eukaryota, Metazoa, Chordata, Mammalia, Rodentia, Cricetidae. The record is from RefSeq and is a predicted model, not a curated record. The transcript has 2 exons.